Molecule: long non-coding RNA, 800 nt
Organism: Cygnus olor (mute swan)
Lineage: Eukaryota; Metazoa; Chordata; Aves; Anseriformes; Anatidae
Exons: 2
Source: RefSeq, a predicted model, not a curated record
UGGUCCAGCAAUUCGUGUCACUAAGGGAUUUGAAGGGUUAACAUUGAGGCCCGGGUUUAGGCGAUAAGAGAACAAAGGGAUUUUUUAGAGAAAAACUGCUGACUCUGCACGGGACGUGCAGUAGCUUCUGACAUCCGGCCAAGAGACUACCAAAUAAGGAGGAAGACCAUGAGCCUUCAGCCCGAGCAACCCCUGAGAGACCAGCAGAGACUGAUACGCAGGUGCCCCUGGGAGGACUUCGGAUUCGGGAAACCAAUUAUAAUAACCCUGCCUCUUCUAGAAGUAGUAAUGAAUAUGUAUUAGCCUAGGAGCAUAAAAAUCAGCCGUCUUAUGUAACGGGUAUGCAUCCUGGUGGAACAGAGACUCCCGGCGCACCCAGCGCUGUUUGCUUGCCUCUAUUCGUUUAAUAAAUUGUAAACUUUGAUUGCAGUCCUAUUUGGGACUCAGUCAUUUAUAACAACUGGGGGCUCGUCUGGGAUGGUCUUGGUUCCUGAAUUCUGACUCGAUCUAGGAGGGGCGCCCCCACCAUUUGGUGGCUCCUGUUCGAAUCGGGUCGGGACUAACGCCAUCUUGAACCUGAAUAAGCGCAAGCAAAGAUUUAGAUUUUUUUAUGAGCUCCCUUUGCCGGCUGCAGCACUAUAUUUUGCCCGUAAUUCUGCGCGCGAAGAUCCGAACGAAGACGGCGGAGUCUUUUUCCAGGAGCUGGAUCACCCCGAAGGGCUGAAUGGUAACACAAGCUCUGAAAGCGGGCCCAACCCCAUGAUUGAAGGCGUCUCCCACACUCUCAAGAUUGGACGGCG